This 155-nucleotide ribosomal RNA is filed under the name uncultured eukaryote. RNAcentral's name for it is "partial 18S rRNA". It matches the Rfam family "Eukaryotic small subunit ribosomal RNA", at positions 1483 to 1637 of the family's 1831-position model. The record is from RNAcentral.
CCGGCACCGCGCGCUACACCUGAGCAGGGCCAGCGAGUAUAUCACCUUAGCCGAAAGGCUUGGGUAAUCUUGUGAAACCUUGUCGUGCUGGGGAUAGAGCAUUGCAAUUAUUGCUCUUCAACGAGGAAUACCUAGUAAGCGCGAGUCAUCAGCUG